RNAcentral lists this ribosomal RNA (395 nucleotides) under uncultured bacterium. RNAcentral describes it as "partial 16S ribosomal RNA". It matches the Rfam family "Bacterial small subunit ribosomal RNA", at positions 523 to 918 of the family's 1533-position model. The record is from RNAcentral.
AUACGUAGGGUGCAAGCGUUAAUCGGAAUUACUGGGCGUAAAGCGUGCGCAGGCGGUUCGGAAAGAAGGAUGUGAAAUCCCAGGGCUCAACCUUGGAACUGCAUUCUUAACUACCGAACUAGAGUAUGUCAGAGGGGGGUAGAAUUCCGCGUGUAGCAGUGAAAUGCGUAGAUAUGCGGAGGAAUACCGAUGGCGAAGGCAGCCCCCUGGGAUAAUACUGACGCUCAUGCACGAAAGCGUGGGUAGCAAACAGGAUUAGAUACCCUGGUAGUCCACGCCCUAAACGAUGUCAACUAGCUGUUGGGCCCUUCGGGGCUUAGUAGCGUAGCUAACGCGUGAAGUUGACCGCCUGGGGAGUACGGUCGCAAGACUAAAACUCAAAUGAAUUGACGGGG